This 414-nucleotide ribosomal RNA is filed under the name uncultured bacterium. RNAcentral's name for it is "bacterial SSU rRNA". It matches the Rfam family "Bacterial small subunit ribosomal RNA", at positions 359 to 776 of the family's 1533-position model. The record is from RNAcentral.
GAAUAUUGGACAAUGGGCGGAAGCCUGAUCCAGCAACGCCGCGUGAGGGAUGACGGCCUUCGGGUUGUAAACCUCUUUCAGUACCGACGAAGCGCCGAUGAUGGUGGUGACGGUGGGUACAGAAGAAGCACCGGCCAACUACGUGCCAGCAGCCGCGGUAAUACGUAGGGUGCGAGCGUUGUCCGGAAUGAUUGGGCGUAAAGGGCUCGUAGGCGGUUUGUCGCGUCGGGAGUGAAAACCCAGGGCUUAACUCUGGGCUUGCUUUCGAUACGGGCAGACUAGAGGCAUGCAGGGGAGAACGGAAUUCCUGGUGUAGCGGUGAAAUGCGCAGAUAUCAGGAGGAACACCGGUGGCGAAGGCGGUUCUCUGGGCAUGUCCUGACGCUGAGGAGCGAAAGUGUGGGGAGCGAACAGG